This 1753-nucleotide ribosomal RNA is filed under the name Fusobacterium necrophorum DJ-2. Its description in RNAcentral is "bacterial LSU rRNA". It matches the Rfam family "Bacterial large subunit ribosomal RNA", at positions 1 to 1753 of the family's 2925-position model. The record is from RNAcentral. Lineage: Bacteria; Fusobacteriati; Fusobacteriota; Fusobacteriia; Fusobacteriales; Fusobacteriaceae.
GAUUAAAGUAACAAAGGGCACACAAGGGAUGCCUAGGUAGAAAGAGCCGAAGAAGGACGUGGUAAGCUGCGAUAAGCUUGGCGAAGUUGCAAACGAACGUGGAUGCCAAGAUUUCCGAAUGGAGCAAUCUGUAAAGAGUCAUGUCUUUACACGAAAGAGGGAACCGGGUGAACUGAAACAUCUAAGUAAUCCGAGGAAAAGAAAGUAACAACGAUACCCUAAGUAGCGGCGAGCGAACGGGGUAGAGCCUAAACCAUAUUCAUGUCAAGGAUGCAGCCGUUGUGGAUAUGGGGUAGCGGGAAAGAGAGAGAAAGAACUGCAAGCUAUUUCGCAGACGUAAGCAAAGGAACAAGAAAGAUCUGGAAAGGUCUACCGUAGAAGGUGAAAGUCCUGUAUUGGUAGUUUUCUUGCGCUGUAUCUCUUCUCCCAAGUAAUGUGGAACACGAGGAAUUCUGCAUGAAUCUGCGAGGACCAAAUCUCGUAAGGCUAAAUACUCUUUCUAACCGAUAGCGCAUAGUACCGUGAGGGAAAGGUGAAAAGAACCCCGGGAGGGGAGUGAAAGAGAACCUGAAAUUGUGUGCUUACAAGCGGUCAGAGCCACUUUGGUGGUGAUGGCGUGCCUUUUGGAGAAUGAUCCUGCGAGUUACGUUUCAUGGCGAGGUUAAGAAGAACGGAGCCGAAGGGAAACCGAGUCUGAAUAGGGCGCAAGAGUCGUGGAGCGUAGACGCGAAACCCGGUGAUCUAAGCCUGUCCAGGAUGAAGCUGUGGUAAGACACAGUGGAGGUCCUAACCCACCGCCGUUGAAAAGUUGGGGGAUGAGGUAGGUUUAGGGGUGAAAAGCCAAUCGAACCGGGAGAUAGCUCGUUCUCUCCGAAAUGCAUCUAGGUGCAGCCUUGCGUGUUUAAUGAUGGGGGUAGAGCACUGACUGAACUAGGGGGCAUAUAGCUUACUGAAUUCAAUCAAACUCCGAAUACCAUUAUUCAAGAGCGCAGGAGUGAGACCAUGGGAGUUAACUUCCAUCGUCGAAAGGGAAACAACCCAGACCACCAGCUAAGGUCCCAAAUCAUAUCUAAGUGGGAAAGGAGGUGGAGAUUCUUAAACAACUAGGAGGUUGGCUUAGAAGCAGCCAUUCCUUGAAAGAGUGCGUAAUAGCUCACUAGUCGAGAGUCUCUGCGCCGACAAUGUAACGGGGCUAAGAUAUGAACCGAAGCUGUGGAUGUCGUAAGACAUGGUAGGAGAGCGUUCUGUAGGCCGUCGAAGGAGGACUGAAAGGAACUCUGGAGGUAUCAGAAGUGAGAAUGCAGGAAUAAGUAGCGAGAAGGGGAGUGAGAAUCUCCCCCGCUGGAAGACCAAGGUUUUCAGGGUAAAGCUUGUCUUCCCUGAGUAAGCCGGGACCUAAGCCCAGGCUAGAAUGCGUAGGCGAAUGGAAAACAGAUGAAUAUUUCUGUGCCAGUUCUACUUUGUGAAGGAGGGACGCAGAAGGGUAUGCGCGCAGACGAACGGAAGAGUCUGUAGAAGCAUGUAGAGUGACUUGGUAGGCAAAUCCGCCAGGUUAGACUUGAGGUGUGACAUAUACUCGCAAGAGGAAUGCGCAAAUCCCACGCUGCCGAGAAAAGCUUCUAGCGGUAAAGUAGAGACUGCCCGUACUGGAAACCGACACAGGUGGUCAGGAUGAGAAAUCUAAAGCGGACAGGCUAACUCUCGUUAAGGAACUCUGCAAAAUGGCCCCGUAACUUCGGGAGAAGGGGUGCCU